CGCCCUGAAGCUGAAUUCAAGGUAAUAAGUGGUUUUGGUUGGCUGAUAAAUGAUCCUUAAUGCUAGAAUCUAUCGAGGGCAAAGAGAGAUCCUCAUUUUCAUGUUUCUUCGACUCUGUUUCUCUCUUCUCAGAACGGAACACGGCUUUUCUUCCGAGGCCAGCUCAUUUGGGAGACGAUUAUGGAUGAGCUGUUGUCGAUGGGCAUGUCAGAUGCGAAACAGGUAGCAUCCUCGUGAUCUUGUAUUAAGGAUUUUGUUAAUGAUAUAUUGGUGACUAAGAAAGUCAGUCUUGCAUUUCCAUGUAUAAAUCUAUAAAGUAUUCCUUAUCGUUUCUGCGUUUCUAGGAUUCACUUAUUUAAUCUCUUUGUUUUCUUAAUACAUAUUUGAGAAAAUUGUAGGGCAUACUUACAGGAUGUUCUGCUGGUGGUUUGGCAACUCUUAUACAUUGUGACUACUUUCGUGAUCAUCUCCCAAAAGAUGCAGCUGUCAAAUGUGUUUCUGACGGAGGCUUCUUUCUCAAUGUGUAUGUUUCCGCUCAUAAACUGCCUUUUCUCAUGAAUUUUAAAGAGACUUGUGAGUUCUGGUACUUUUUGGUUAAGUUCUUUGGGUCUAAGCUGAUUUAAAGAAGCAAAACUUGUGAGACUAUUUUAGAAUUGUUUGCAGACUAUACUACACAGAGCUAAGAAAAUUACUGUCAGUGUGAUAUCAGCUUAACAGUGUCUCUCAAUCUCAGUAAAGCUGUUUUUCUUCUUUUUCAGGCCCGAUGUCCUUGGACACCCUACGAUGAGAUCUUUCUAUCAUAAUGUUGUUAACCUGCAGGUUUCCCAUUCACUUUAUGUCAAUAUUUAAUCGUACAUUUUCGUGAAUGCUUCAUCGAAGUGAACAAGAACAUGUCAUGGCAUUCUCUGUCAUGGCUUUGGGCUGAUUUUCAAUGAUUGAUUCCAACUAGGGCGUUGAAAAGAGCUUGGAUCAUAAUUGUGUAGCCAAACCAGAGCCAUCCACGGUAGAAUCCGUCUCUUACUUUGUUAAAAUCUUUCUUGACUGAUUAUGAUUUGUGUUGAGACUUUUUCUUAUGUUUUGCAGUGUAUGUUCCCUCAAAAAUUCCUUAACAACAUAAGAACACCAGUAUUUCUUGUCAACCCUGCUUACGACUUUUGGCAGGUUAGAGUUUCAAAGCCAAACACUAAAACUUUUUGCCUGUUUCUGUUUGAUGUAACUUCAAUUCAUGUUUAAUGUUUUACUAAUACCAAGCACAUGUUCAGAUUCAACAUGUGUUGGUACCAGCUUCUCCUAAUUUAGAUAAAAGUUGGGCAAAGUGCAGACUCAAUAUUAAGGAGUGUGAUGCCGCACAGAUGAAAGUUCUACAUGGUAAUUUACUCCUUAGUUAAGCUUAAUGACCAAAAUUAAUAAUCAGUUGAUCUGAUCUGUUUUUCUCCUUGGGAAUUUAUGAUUCUUGGAAUAAAUUCUCCGUAUACUUCUUUGUAAAAUGGUCAGUUGUAUAAAUCCCUAUUUGAUAUGCAGGUUUUCGUAGCUCUAUGAUGGAUGCUAUCGGGAAGUUUCAUCAGAACAAAGCUGGUGGGAUGUUCAUAGAUUCAUGCUACUCUCACUGCCAGACACUUAUGUCAGCGACAUGGCACUCCCCAACCUCAACAAGAAUCGAAAAUAAGGUCAAGACAUGUUACUCACACAAUCUGUUGCUUUCUUUCUUCUUACAAUUCAACUGAUUCUGUUCUCUUGUUGGAACAGACUAUUGCAGAGUCUGUAGGUGACUGGUACUUCAACAGAAAACCGGUGAAGCUAAUCGAUUGUCCUUAUCCGUGCAAUCCAUCUUGUUACAACCUGAAUUUCACCUGAACGUGCCCUAUAGCUGGCAUUGACCAACCCCCUCUGCUUUUGGAUUUCUCCUCAAGUUUCAUCAUCUGAGGGGUAGCCAUUCUCGAAUCCUCAAUCCAGUUGAGUCCUAAAGGUUAUCAUGUUCUUGAAGCAUGAAGAUAUCUAGAGAAUGUCACCUGCUUUGUAUUAUUUUUUAGUUGAUUGAUCACCGAGGGGAGACUUUACAAAAGCAGCACAAUUCAUAAUCCAUAUUGGCAUAUUGCAUAUGUAUAUAUUAUUGUGAUCGUAAUAUAUUGAAAUGAGGUUGGUUUUGUGUGGAAAGAAGUUCCAGUGUUAUGUUAAUGGGGGAAAGAAGAGUGAAUCUGAAUCGUUUAAAUGUGGCCGAACCUUCCAAGUGAUGGAAUGUUCGUUCAGAAAAUAUCUUGUGAAAACUUCAUAGUUCAGCAGUUUACUUAACAGGUUCACUAAUGUUUGUACAUAAAAAAAUCUUAUACUACUAAAAGCAGAAUAAUCAGAGCAACGAGAGUGCCACGUAUGCUUUUUUAUUCAGGCCAAUCAGGUACAUUUAUUUUGCCACGUCAGACUCACGUUUUCUUUCGGCUAAAGUUUACUAAUAUUCUGUGGGUUUCGUGAUUACGCUUUGGGCUAUAUGAUUGCGAUUUGGGCUUCGGGGUGUUUUGUCUUUGGGACAAAAAUCAGAUUCGACUUCGCAAAAUGACGAUUCUCCUCACCCUUUCCACUUCGUUUUCUCCGAUCGAAGAUCAACGAAUCGUAAAAUCAAUCGAUUCAACCUCCGCAAUCAAUACUUUUGUUUUGAUCAAUCAAUACCUCCAUUAUGAUUUCGUUUCACCUCCCUCUUUUCCUCCUCCUUUAUAUGUUGAUCUUUCUUCUUCGUACUAAACAAAACCCUAGAAAUACUCAGAUCUCAAGCCAUGGCGAUGAAACGAAAUGGGAAGUCUCCUGCCUCUUCCGCCUCUGACGAAAAAGUGAUGUUCUUCAAAGAUGUCUCUCUAGGUCCCCAUGAAACCCAAUUGCGCUUCCGACUCAUUCAUUUCUGGGAGGCUCGGAACCCGGUGAAGAAGACCCUUAUUGGCCUGGAAAUGCUUCUCAUCGAUGAGCAGGUACGUCAAUUCUCUCAAGAUUUUUCAAGACCGUCAGAUUUGGUUAGGGUUAAUUAGUUAUGUUAGAUUAGUUAAUUAAAAUUUGAACCGUGAUUAAUUAGUUUUGUAAAUAAAACUUAAAAAAUUGAUUUUCACAUUUUUUUAUACGGGUGUUAAGUUAUUUUGUAGGGUCUGAUAUCGUAUCUGUUUAGAUUCUGAGGUUUGGUUCCCAUUUCGUGUUUUGUUAUUCUUUUCCGACAAUAAAAAUUGUUUCUAGACCGUGAUAUCUGUGUAAGGGUUAAUUAGUUAGGUUAGAUUAGUUAAUAAAACUUUGAACCGUGGUUUUGACGUUUUCUAAAACAUAUUUGUUUGGUAUCGUAUAUGUUUAAAUUCCGAGAUUUGAUUCUCAUUUCGUGUUUUUUAUUAUUUUCCGACAAUAGGGAAGUGUCAUUCAAGGAUUCAUCCCACCAGGACGUAUCAAGAAAUACUUGCCUGAUAUGAAGCAAGGAUCAGUUUACAAACUCAUCAACUUCUACGGAUCGAAGAACAAACCGAUGUAUCGGGUUGCUGACCAUAUCGCAACCGUGUCCUUCACAUGGAACUCUGAGUUGUCGGUUCUUCUCGACAUUCCAAUCUCUUUUGAUGAAGACCGUUUCAGGUUUCAUUCGUAUGAGGAUUUUGAGGCUAACUGUGAUCUCAAAGGUGACCUCUAUGGUAAGCAUACAUUACUUUAUAUUUUAUGUAGUUUUGGUUUGCCUUCAUGUUUGUUAAAGAAUUAUAGAACUUUGUUGGGUUAAAUAAUUAGUUCAAGUAUUUCUCUCUUUAGUUUUAUAUUAGACAUCUGAAUUACUUUCUUUAUGAUAAAUGUUAUAGAUGUUGUUGGUCACAUGAAGCUGGUGGAUGGACAGACUCUUACCGAGCGUCCCACUGUUGAUGAAGCGAAGAUCGCUACCACUCGGCACGUUAUGGUUCAUGUGCAAUCACAUGAGUAAGUGUGUUCUUCUAUUUUUAAUACACCAUCUCUCUUUAGUUCCUAAGUCCCUAAGAGUUUUUUUUUUUUUUUUGCAGAGGACCUGUCAUGAAGCUCUACCUAUGGGACCAGGCUGCAACAGAAUUCUGCAAGAAGUUUAAGUCCUAUGAAAACACUCCCACAGUGCUUUUGGUCACAGCUGUUAACACUAAACGUCUCGGAGGUAAUCAAUUAUCCCUUUGGAUUCACGUUUUCACUGAUCAUUGUGUAACGUUUUAGCUUAUUAAACAUUCUAAAAACGCUUUUUUCUUUUAAAUUGGCUGCUAUUUCUAGACACUAUCAUUUUUAAUGCUUCUUACUUUAUCGAACAGGUACUCUGGCACUGAGCUCUAUGUCUCCCACACGGGUUUUCAUGGACUAUGAUGUCCAACCAACCAUUGAUUACUUCACCUGGUAUGUACCCCCAGCUACAAACGUUCGUGUUGAGCACAUAGUUACACAAAUUGAAGUGAUUGACUGAAGCAAUGCUUUCUAUUUAUUGUUAGGCUCGCCUCAAACCCAGAGAUUGCUAAGCAGGUUACUGCAGAGGUGGUCACUAAGCGGGAGACGAUGACCAUAGGAGAAAUAUUCUCUUACAUGACUCAGGAAUCUGCAAAGGUAAAUACAAAUCUAACUAUUACUUGCCAAUUUUUAAGCGCUUAUCUAUUUAUAUCAAAUGCUUUUGAACUGUUGCAGGAUGCCUUUUUUGAGUGCACUGCUACAAUUGAUGAUGUUGUUCAUGGAUCUCCUUGGUACUAUAUUGCAUGCGCUGAGUGCCAUAGUAAGGCUACCAAAGGCGCAAACUCAUUGAUUUGCACCAACCCAAAAUGUGUGAAGGACAGCACAGCUGGUGUUGCACAGUAUGUUCACUGGCCUCAAUAUUCAAUUACAUUUUUCCUUAUAUAAGUUUUGGAUUAUUAACUUCUGAUUCUUACAUAACAGGUACCGUGCAAAGAUUUCUGUUUAUGACAGCAGUGAACAAGCUUUUUUUGUCCUGCUUGGUGAUGCUGGUCUUCAGUUGACUGGGAGGCACGCAUCUGAGUUGGUUAGCAGAUACUUUGAGGUAAAUUUCUAUCAGUUUAUACUCUCAACUUAUUUAAACUCACACUACUGUAUUUGAAUACAAGGCUAAUAAAGACAAAGGCCCUGACCAUGAGGUGCCUGUCCCGGAAUCUCUGAUCAGCACAAUCGGGCAGACCCAUAAAUUUUGUGUGAAAGUCACAGACCACAACUUCUCUGGCAGCACCCGAGCUAUAACUGUCACCAAGAUCCUCCCUCUAGACACACCAUCACCCACAGAAUCCUCUCUUGGAAACGCCAUUGCUGCAACGUCCGAGGAAGCAGUGCAGACUGGAAGUGACGUAUGUGGUUCUUCAAAAAGCCAUGGAGAUUCUGCAGAUGAGGAGAGUAAGAGGACGUUUGAAAGUGUUGAUCCAGAGAAAGUCAAACGGCCAAGAUGUGAGAAUUGAAGCUUCAGUUCAGUGAUGUUUAAGUCUUUGCUUUGAACUUCAAGUAUUGCAUUGGUUUCUGAAAGUUUGCUUCAGUUUAAGUACUAUUUUGGUUUUCAGCAAGACAUUGCUUUGUUUCAUUUCAUUUCAGACUUUGUCUUUGGUCAAUUGAAUUAUCUUUCCUUAAAAGCUUUCCCGUUUCUUUCAAAUAAAUUGUUUUCAUAUUUUCAAUUCAAUUAAUAAAUCCAAACGAUUUGGCCUCAUAAGAAAACUCGCUGGAUUUAAUUAUCUCCAUAGCCCAUAUCCAUUAUAAUCUCCAUGUCGUCAUCACACACGCACACGCAUAUCCCAAGCUGGUUUAGGUUUCAAUACGAUCUUUCUCAUUAGCUUAUCAUUUAGUCUAUCGUGUGUAAAUUUAUAAAAAAAUAUAGAAAAGUUAACGAACUCAACUUGCUACGAAUCAUAUUUUAGUUAAACCCAACGAUGAUGUUUAUUGGUAGUUUCAGAAAAAAAAACAUAUGCAUCAAAUUAAACAAUAUAUAAUUAAUAUGAAAAUGCAAAAAGAAUAUAGAAGAUCAAACAUUAAAUUCAACAAGACAACAAUAUAAAAUAUCUAUUUUCAUUUGCUUUAAUGUUGUUGGCACUUUCCGAUUUAUUGAUUUUAAAUUAUUUAUAAAUAAUCAAAAAAUUAUAAACAAAUAACCCGGGCGUAGCCCGGGCAAACCCUCUAGUUUGAUUAAUACUUGGUGUAAACAGAAAUAUCUAUUCUAUACUAAAAGGGAUAUAUGAAGAGUAGAGAGGGUGUCCACGUCCUCAAUUAAAAUCAGCCAAUAGGGUGUCUCAAAUUCGCCACGUCAUUUGCUCUUUUAUGUUUAAGCCGCUGUCGUAGUGACGCGUUUCCUCUGUACAUCUCAAUCGUCUCAACUUCCUUUGCUUCUCUAAAAAAUUAUAAAAAGUGUUACGAAACUCCUGCCAUCAACUUUUAUUUGCACCGUGAAUCUCUCUUCGUCUUCUUUCCCAUCCUAUAAGCAAUUUUUUUUACAUUGAUCUCUUCAUCUCCUUCCUGCAAAUUUGUGUUCUUUUGAUUCAACAUAAUUGAUUUAAAACUAGAUCCAAUGAUUCAAACUGAAAAAAAAUUCAGAUUCAAGCCGAUGCGCCAGGCAGCUUCGGCCAUCUCGGUGCUAAUCAGUAAGGAUUCAAUCAGUGCAAAGAAACGAAGCAUUGGAUUUGGGGUCAGCAUGUGUGCAAGCUUCUAAUAAAUCAGGUUCCAUCUCUCUCUCUCAAUAUGUUUCAUCUCUCAUGAAGUCUUAUGAUGCAUUCGUUGGAGCUGUUUAGUAGGUUCGGAGUAGAAACAUGGUAAGAUUAUUCCUGACUCUUUCAAAGCUGCUCAGACGCUUAGUAUAGACACAUAAGCUUCCGUUUAUUGUUAUCUUAUAUUUGAUCCAUGUCUUCUUACAGUGUCUAACAAAGAGAUCUCGAACUGGAUCGUGUAAGAUUACUUGAAAUCAAUCAAGUAUUGGAAUCAAUCCGUCAAGCUUUUCACCACCAGGUUCCAUAUCUUUCUCACUCACGACUUCCAAUCAAUCUUAACCCUAUUUUUUUAUCAUGCUUUAGUUGGAGUUGUUUGGUAAACAUGUGAGCUGCAGAAACUGGAUAAAGAUUAUUCUGAGUCUCUCAGAUGCUUAGUAUAGUCACGUAAUCUUCCCUUCCCUUUCUCCCUAUCUAAUUUUGUUAUAAUUGAUAAGGUAAGAGCUUAAUAAUGUAGUUAUUAUCUUAUAAGUUGCAGGUAUGGAUUCUGUAAAAUCAGUAUAUGAAAUUCAUUGUAUAAUUAUUUUGAUCCGGUGCAACAGGUCAAGUAUACGUCUCCCCCAGCUUCCCCACUCCGUAAGACCCUCUUUCCUCUGUUUUUAUUUCCUUUUGGUCUUCUGUUUUGGAUCUAAUCAAAAUCUUAGCUUCCCUCGGCCAUGAAUCCUCAGGUUGGUACAUGACCAGACCUGCAUAUUUGUAGACACCAUAUGCAAUAGUGUUAUAUUGGAUUUGAUAGAAAUAAACGCCCCUUGCUUUUUCAAAAUGUAUUUCCUUUACUUGUGACAUGCAUAUAAUUCGUUGUUUGUCAUUGAACAUCCUCCCUCUUAAUUUCUUCAUUUUUCUUACUUAAACAAUUUCUUACAUUUCCCUUCCAAUAACUAAUUAUCAUUACACUUACAUAGGUAGCGAGUUUUGAAUGCAUCACUGGACUGAUGGUGUUCUCCAAGUUCAUAGGGUGCAGUGAAUGCCAAACAAAAGUAACCCGAGGCGCCACAUCAUUGGUCUGCCUAUAAAUGCAAUAACCACAACGCCAUAGGUAAUGAGUGCUGGAUCUCUGAUGUGCCUGUCUGAACAUCUUCAAACAAUUAACGAGUGUUGGAUCUCUGUAUGAGCUUAGUGUAUUUGAAGUAACCUGUAGCAACACUAACUUCUGCUUUAGCGACAGCCCCAUUGCUAUUCGUUUCACUAACCAAACCGUCGGGGAGCUAUAUGAGACGGACAAACCGAUUGAUGGUAUUAGCAAACACGAGUACCGACAUACCAGGUUACCUUCGUAUUUCUAAUUUUCUGAAAUUGGCAUAAAGUAUUUCAUAUUACAAUUGGAAUUUUAUGGUAUGUGUUUAUUUGGCAGAUAUUGUUGGUAAGUUCGGGUAUUAGAACUGCUUACGACGAAAAGAGCCGGAGUACACAGCGCCACCAUAAGCUUUGAAUGGGUAUAUAUCUACUCACCAACUUUUAAACUUUUUAAUAACUUAGUCAUAUAGCAGGUUCCCAUGUCCCGACAAUAUUAAAGUGUUCCUCAAUGACUAUGCAGGCACUCUAAUGUCUUCCUAAGUGUGUUUGCUGAGUAAGGUCAUAAACCGAAGGUGGCGGUUGCCACUAACAUCAUCCCAAAACUGGCAAUGAAUGAACCGUCCUGUUUAGAACUUGCUUACGGAUUUCUUAAAAGGUUUUCUCUCUGUUUUAGAUAUUGUCUCAAGCCGUCUCUUCCUGAAUGAAACUUCAGAAACUCAUUUCUAUUUUGAUAAGGAUUGUGCUGUUGGUCAAAUUUAUCUAAAGAGGUAAUGAUAACCACACCUUUCUUUAUUUACCACUUACGAUGACAUAAUUAGUCCAGCACACUAACUCAUACCUGCUGUUUUUAGGGUAUGUUGUAGUGAGGAAGGCUCAACCUUCAGCACGUAGUCAUUAAGCUCUCCUAAUCACAAAUAAGUAGCUUAACAAUAUCUCAAUAACUGCACUUUGCGGAGUUCAUUUGCACUGGUGUUGUGAGUGAAAUAGAAACAAAAAGUGGAUGUUGCUUUGCUCCAAGUGCCACCGCAAAUUGCAGCAUGGGUUCUCAUCAUUUCAAUGUCCUCCCUGCAAUGAGGAGAAUACAGUUGGAGUUAUUAGAUAGUCUACCCUCAACAAACUUUGUAACAAUUAAUCUUAAAAUCCACAACUAUCCUAUGCUACGAGAGUAAUGCAUUACACUGGAUAAUAUAGGCUAGGUACCGUGUUCGAAUGACCAUAUCUGAUGCAACCGAUGCUGCUGAAUUUGUUGUCUUUGACACUGUAAUAACUAAACUAACUAAUAUCUGCGCAGCAAAUCCCUCCAACCAGCAGGUUCGUCUUUUUAAUUCCUUGCAUUCAUUCUUCUCUAAUUAUUGGAAAUGGCUGUUUAUAAGAUUAGUAGAUUACAUUAUGUUGCUUUUGCAGGUUGCUGUUUCACAAGACCUCCAGGAUUGGGACCUCCCACAAUGCGUACAUGAGAUCGCUGGUAGCACCUUAACCUUCCAAUUGAGUCUGUCUCACUUCAACAUCAGUGCCAUACAUCAGAUUUUCACUGUUUCCCGCAUUUUUUACUACAACCAGUGCCCACCUCAGCUUAAUUUUGAGGGUCAUGUCUCCAAUAAAUGCUCAAGUCUAUGCAACUUUACAUGGUCUUUGAUUACUGAUUAGGGAGUCACAUUUUCAAGGUAGGUAUGAUAAUCCCGGGGAUGAUACGCCAGCUGCUGGAGCUGUCAAAAGAAGCCACAGUCAUGUUCUCCAGAGCAGUCCCGUGAAUCAGGGUGAAAGUGAUGGUAAUGGUGAUGUUGCAUGAGGACGGUUGCUAUGACAAGAAGCCACAGACUGAUAAAGAACAAGUGGAGAUUCAGAUAGAAGACAUGCUGACAUGUUCGAUGCUUUUAUUUAAAAGUAAAACUGCCAAACACUAUGGUUUACUUUUUCAUGGUGGAGUUUUUUUCUUAUUUGGAUUUUCAUUGGUUUCAUUUUUUAACAUUUCCAUAGUCCGUAUACAUUUAACAGUCAAAACCCAAAAAAUCCUACUUCACAGACCUAUCACUUUUACUAACAAACUAAUUGAAAAUUAGAUAAAUUAUAUUAACGCGCUCAUAAUUUGUGGUCAUGUUUUUUUUUCUCAACUGCCAGGGAAGAUAACGAACUCGGUGUUAUUAAUAUCGCCUACUGGGAAGUUUUCAACAACCUCCAAAAACAAUAGGCUGCACAAUACAACAAACCCUCCAACACUACAAAUACAUUAGAAAGCUAAUCUAACUUCCCUUUUCAAAAGGUUGUGACACACGAAGCUCCAAAUCAAAAAGUAUAUAAAGCAGCCAGGAAUUCCCAACAACUCUUCCCAGCAACCAUGAGAACUAUAUUUUUCGACUUUAAUAUUUUAUUAAGUUUUACCAAAACUGAAUCAGGACAAUUGCACGCCAAAAUUCAUGUCUCCAACUAAAAAUAACAAUUCCGGAGAUGUUUGACAACAACACAUACCCAAAUAAAAUACAAAUCAAAUACAAUAAACAACUCACUCAACUUGAUGCAGACACUAAACUCUAUCGACGCUAGCUAACAAAAACCGUCAAAACACCAACUACAAUCCUCUGGCCCAUUAAAAAAAUUAUGGACCCAUAUCCUACUUUUAAAACAGCUAACCCACCAAAUCUAUACCACAAAACACUAACAAGACUCACACAUGCUUUGAAAAAACCCUCCCAAAACCAAUACUCAAAUUAUCCCACCACUCGGCAUUACACACAAAACUAUAUGUAGUAGAUUUUGAAUAAAAACAUUAUUAAAAACACACUCAUAAUAAUGGAUCAUAGAAUAUAUUCAGAUAUACCACAAUCAAACAUAAAACUCUAAUACACUAUUUUAAAAUAUUAAUAAAAUAUUACACAUAUAAUCUCAUGCAAAAUGACAAAAAUAAAAAUAAUAAUCUCAUGCAAAUACAUCACAAAAGAAUGUAUUUUCAUUAAAAAUAUAAAUGAAAUGAAUACUGAAAAUAAAAUAGUACAAACAAAAAAAUGUAUUUUCAUUAAAAAUAUAAAUGAAAUGAAUACUGAAAAUAAAAUAGUACAAACAAAAAAAUGUAUUUUCAUUAAAAAUAUAAAUGAAAUGAAUACUGAAAAUAAAAUAGUACAAACAAAAAAAUGUAUUUUCAUUAAAAAUAUAAAUGAAAUGAAUACUGAAAAUAAAAUAGUACAAUGUCAUAAAAUAUAGUUGAUAAAAAUCAAAACAGGUAAGAAUUGUAAACAGAGGUCAAAUGUUAACAAAAUAUUUAUAUAUAGUAUUAUUAGAAAAUAAAUUUUAAUUAUUAUAUUCAAUUUAAAGUAAACUUCAAAUGUUUUAUAAAAUUAAUAUUCAUCUUAGUAUAAAACGAUUUUAACGUAAACUUAUCCGCCCGUAGGGCGGGCCAACCCCUAGUAAGGCGUAAUAUUUUCAUAAAACGACUCGAUAUGGUGAAAAUAAAACCGUCUGUGAAUUUUCAUACUUGUAUAGAUUUGUCAGUUGCAGGCUUGCAGCGCCGGUCCAUGUAUAUGAAAGGUCCAUUCAAAACAAGGCUUUAGCUAUGUGAACCAAAUAAUAAACCAAUUGAACAAAUAUAUUAACACAAAUAUAUCAUAAAGCAUUACAAUUAACAUAAAUUGAAGCUAGAGAGUAAGAGUCAAUAUUUUAAUUUCUUAAAAAUAUAAUUAUAUAUAUAAAUUAUAAAAAUUAAGAACUAAAUAUAAUAAAAAUAUAUAUCAAAAUUAAAAUAAUAAAUAUUUACAUUUCUAAUGCGAAUAAUGAAAUUAACUUUUAAAUUUAAAAUAAGCCAUAGACAAAACAUCAAAAAGUAUCUAAUAAUAUGCGAAUAACAAAAGUAAACUAACUAAAUAAACAAUUAUAUUUUUUUUUGUAAACUUAAAUCAUUAAUUUGUAAUAGACGUAUACAUAUUAUUGAUGCUCAAAUCUAUUUUAUUUUUAGUAUGUAUCUACUCAAAUAUUAAUCCAUUAACAAGAUGGAAUUUUAGUUGGACUAAAAUUGUAUUAAAAUUGGAAUAUCAAUUUCAUAAUAUAUUCAUUAUUCAUCUGAACGUUCAUGAAUAUAUAUUACAAUACUCUAAAUAUAAUAAUAAAUCAAACCGGAUUACAUAUUGGGUCAUCUAUCAGUUCAACCGAUAACCAGAUCUCGGGUUUUAACAGUUGUUACGGGUUUUACAAAAUUUUUAAAUAACAGUUUUUUUUUUGAAAACUAAAAUGGAUUACAUAUGAACCACCGAAUUUGGCAAUUUAACUGCGGGUCGGGUCGGAUUUCAAAACAUUGAAUAUAAUUUUUCAUUUGUAAUAUCUAAGUGUAGAUACAAUUAAAAUACAAAUUUAUAUCAAAUAAAUUUGGAAUGUUUCGAAAAUAAUCCCGCGCUUUGAAAGCGCGGGUUUUAUAGAAUUUUUAAAUAACAAUUUUUUUUUUGAAAACUAAAAUGGAUUACAUAUGAACCACCGAAUUUACCAAUUUUACUGCGGGUCGGGUCGGGUUUCAAAACAUUGAAUAUAAUGUUCUAUUUGUAAUAUUUAAGUGUAGAUACAAUUAAAAUACAAAUUUAUAUCAAAUAAAUUUAGAAUGUUUCGAAAACAAUCCCGCGCUUUGAAAGCGCGGAUCAAAAUCUAGUUUUCUUUAAAAGAACAGUGAGCAGAUUUAGCUUUAAAAUAUUUUGAAUAAACCUAUAGUCCCUAAGCGAUCGCUUAUACUGCUUACAACCUGGUCGGCUGUAUAGUCUGUUUUUGUGAUAUUAAGAAAAAUAUGUUUUUAUAGAGAUAGACCAUUCCUGUUCCGUCUCUUCCUUUCCUUUUUAACGUGGGAUCUUACCUUCUUGACGUCCUCAUGAAGAAAAAUGGAUGUGACUAACCAUACAAAUGAGGCAUGUGCAUGUCCUCCGCACGUCUAAGCAAGAAUUAUGGUGAUUUAUUUAAUAAUAGUGUGUUCUUUCUUAAAGCAACAUUAAAAACGGCAUUGUGUUCUUAGAGUGGUUGAACAUUUUUCUUAGUGUGUUUUUAGAGUGUUUGAACAUUUAAUCUCGUUCGAAUCGAAUAAUAAUCACAACUAUGAAAUAUUUCAUGACUUUUUUUUUUUCAUUUUGAACAACAUUUCAUGACUUCUAUGUACCUUUACCACUUGUAUAUAUAUUUGGGGAAAAAAUAGUUUUAAAAACCACAAUAUAUAGGAGAAAGUCAGAUUUUAAAAGAAAAAACUCUCAGCUUCCACGUUCUUCAUUCCCGAAAUCGUUGACAAGUUUUUUAUAAGGAUCCACAAAAUGUAAUUACGUGCUUAAGCAUAAUAUAUGGUUAAGUUGAAAGACUAAUAUAUGAUAGUAAUAGUUUUGUUUUGAAACAUAUAUGUUGGAACAGUCUGUUUUGGAUAAGUUCAAAAAAAAAAAAAAAAAACAGUCUGUUUUGGAUUUCUGAUCAUGGCACACCAUCGAAGUAUUCUGGUCGACUAGUCGCAGUUUUAUUAUCAUAUUAUUGAUGUCUGAGAAAAACUGAAUCACGGUCGUAUGUUGAAAAUUUCAAUUUUUUAAAUUAAGAAAUUCGGCUGCAAAAUUCAUGCAGUGCAUAUUGUAAUGUAAGCAGAUAGCUACUCUUCCAAGAAUAUCUGGUAUCUUUUUAUUAUAUUUAUUUCCAAUCUAAAAAAGACUGAUUUGUGUUAUGCAUUGGUACUAUUAUUCAUAUCUUAUACUCUUAUUUUACAGUGUUUUUCAUAGUUAUGAUUGUUACUUGUUAAUUUUUGAAUGGUAUAUUUGCUAAGUCGUCAGCACAUAGAUUUGCUUCCCCUAGAUAGAGGCUAAAGCAAGCUUCGCACAAUUAGUUUCUUGGUACUGACUGGUCACAUUAAUCAUGUAACUAACAUCUAAUUUAUCUGACUUUUUGCAUUUCAUUAGUUUAGUAAUCUCAUACUUUUCUGUUUUUUCCAAUAUAUCAAACCAAACGUACCCUUCUUAAAAGUCAACUCCCUCAUAACGAAAACAAAUUAAUUUGAUUUAAUUGAAUGAUGGAAUUCUUUAUCAUAACCAAAAGGUAUUUGUAAAAUACAAAACCAGACUUAUUCAGGUUUAUACUUUCUGGUGAAAAUGAGUUGAUGAUUCCGUUGUCGGAAAAUCUAAUAUUUACAAUCUCGUGUCAAAAGUUUCAUUUAUAAUAUCUAAAAUAAAUAAAAAUUAUUUACAGGCUUUACUAAUUCCAGUGACGACCAACAUAAUAAACCUCCUAAGAAAAAGUCAACUCCUUUCAUCAUCUUCAUGAUUUUGUUCCCACAUGAUAAAUACCCAAAGAAGCUAUUCAUAGUAACGUCUCCACAAACAUAUUCCUCUCGACUCUCCAACAUGCGAAACGACGCGUUUUAUCUUCACUAAAACGGUGUCGUUAGUAGCUGCGUAGCUCCCAAGUUAACCUCUUGCUUCGUCUACAAAUGGGAAACGGAGCAAGUGGCUGUUGCGUGGCCGGAGACACUUCGAGACGAUGCGGUGUCGAACGCUUUCACGACAACCUCGGUCACUCUUUCAGCUAUGUCCGACCAGUCCUCGACGGAUCAAGACCUUCUUUCACGCAGGAACCGUCUCUCCAACCCGACCCGAUCCCCGGAACCACGACCACUUUCCGUUCAAUCUCCGGCGCUUCCGUUAGCGCCAAUAAUUCAACGUCUCUCUCUGACUCUCUCUCAACGGACUCGUCGUUAAAGGCCUCCGGGUUCGAGAGCUCUAACAAGUUCGCUUCAUUUCCCCUCAAGCCUGUGCCGCGUGGUCCGACGAAGAAGCCGAGUCACGUGUCCGGUCCGUUCGAGCGACGGUUUUUAUCCGGUCCGAUCGAAACCGGUUUGGUUAAGAAGAAAAAGAAGACCAAAUCAUUUUCUAAACCUAAACCGAACAAGAGACUUGCCACGUUUAAAACCAUUUUCACAAACUUGAUAUCUAACAAUCAAUCUCGCUCGAAGAAGGGCUUGAUCGAGCCAAUCAAUAGUUUCAAUUCAUCAACUUCGGAUCAUCAUAGACCUGAGAUCAAUAACUCAAGCACAAGCACGACUCUGAGCAGCCAAGAGAGCCCUAGAACCAAAGAAAGAGAAGACUCUGAAGAAGAAGAAGAAGAGGGGAAGAGUGAGUGUUCUCUAGAGGAGCCAAAGAUUCAAUGGGCGGAGGGUAAAGCAGGGGAAGACAGAGUACACGUCAUCCUCUCUGAGGAAAACGGUUGGCUUUUCGUGGGGAUUUACGACGGAUUCAACGGUCCAGAUCCACCGGAUUAUCUUCUCAACAAUCUCUACACCGCCGUGCUCAAAGAGCUCAAAGGGUUGCUAUGGGACGACGAAAACAACUCCGAUGAUAUUGCAUCAUGUAGCGAAGACGGUCAGUCCCAGAUCAAGAAACAGAGUAGUACACUGGAAGGAGGCACUGUUGCUUGUGACACAAGAAACAUAGUUGCUUGUGACUCAAGAAACAUAGCUGAGGAUGUGAAGAAGCUGCAAUGGAGAUACGCUUCGAAACAGAAUUAUAUAGAAUCUGACUCGGAGAUGAUUAACCACAAAGACGUGCUGAAAGCACUUGAACAAGCGUUGAUGAAAACAGAGGAAGCGUUUGAUCAAACGGUGGAUGAGAAUCCAGUGUUAGCCUUGAUGGGGUCCUGCGUACUUGUGACACUAAUGAAAGGUGAAGACGUUUACGUGAUGAGCGUCGGAGAUAGCCGAGCGGUUUUGGCGCAAAGAUCGUAUCUCGGGAGGAAGAAGGUGGCGAAUGAUCUUCAGAGAAUCAAGGAAGAGGGUGGUCCGUUAAAGACUUGUUUGGUCAGAGAAAAAAGAGUCAGUCUUCUGGUUCCUGUUCAGCUCACUAUGGAACACAGCACAAACGUUCAAGAGGUAACACUUUUAUUACAAACUGUUCUGUUUUGAUUCGGAAAAUAAUGAGGAUACUGAUUUUAAGUUUUCUUUAGGAAGUGAGAAGAAUCAGGAAUGAACAUUCUGAUGAUCCAUUGGCGAUAGAGAAUGGUAGAGUGAAAGGUUACCUCAAGGUCACUCGUGCAUUUGGCGCUGGAUUUCUCAAACAAGUAUGAACAUUUAUUUAGAAUAAUUUGAAUUUUUAAGUGGACUACGCAUGGUAGUAGUUCAUAUCAUGGUGAGAUUUUAUGGGUUAUAAGCAAUCUAGUAAAAAGUUCUAUUAGAAAAAUUAUAUAAAUUUGGGGUUUAUAUUUACGUAAAUUAUUUCUUAAAUUUUGGGGGCCACAUGCUAAAGUUUCACUUGUCUAUACUCAUGGCAGACUAUAUAUUAGGUGUUUAUUAUUCCUUAUAUAUCUAGCUAAAGAUUAAACGCUUUUCUUCAGCCGAAGUGGAACAAGGCGGUUCUAGAGAUGUUCAGAAUAAACUACGUUGGAACAUCGCCGUACAUCACGUGCUCCCCGUCGCUUCACCACCACAGACUCACGCCGCAUGAUAAGUUCCUUAUCCUCUCUUCUGAUGGAUUGUAUGAAUACUUCUCCAGUGAGGAAGUCAUCUUCGAGGUCGAGUCUUUCAUAUCAGCCUUCCCUGAAGGCGAUCCUGCUCAGCAUCUCAUCCAAGAAGUCCUCCUUCGAGCAGCCAAAAAAUAUGGUACUAAGAACUAAAACGCAAACGCAGUUUAACAUGCAUAACGCUAAAAAAAACUCACGUACAACUUUGUUUGGUUUUCAGGUAUGGAUUUCCACGAAUUGUUGGAGAUACCUCAAGGAGAUCGUCGCAAGUAUCAUGACGAUGUUUCUGUGAUUGUGAUUUCACUUGAAGGAAGAAUUUGGAAAUCCUCCAUGUGAAUAAAAAACCGUGUGUGAAUUGUGAUCCACUUAGUUUUUUGUUAUGUUAUCUAUUUCUGGCAUACACAAUAUGCUGUGUUUUCCAUAACCAAAUAUUUAGUGUAGCAAAUAUGAUAUAUAAUGCAAGAAGAGAAUGACCAUUUUAUUUUGGCAUAAUAUAUAGUUAGACGGUAUGUAUCUUUUUGUAUUGGUCACUUAACUGUAUUUGGUAAGGAGAAACAACAUCCCCUGCUUUCAAUAUGCCAUAUUUUUGCCAACCAUAUCAUAAUCGUAAUCUUAUUGUACCAGUAACCACAAAUUCACAUGCUUUUUGGUUUGAUAACUGGUCACUUGGUUGGUCCAUUAGCUAGGGGCUCACAACACAUGAGUACCGACCAACUCAAAGUUACAGGUGAUAUAGUUAUAACUAUGCUCUUUCUUUUCAUUCUUCUGUGACUAAGAGUCUAAGACUAACCCCAAAACUUUGAAAACCUUAUCAAACAGGUUAAAACCAAAAAAGAAGCAAAAAAUGGACAUUCGUUCGUCGAUAGAAAGUAUAUAAACAGUGUUUCUCUGUUGCGGGACUUGUCAACUUUCACCCCAAGAUAUUUUCAUUUCUAGAAUCUUGAAUAUAUUUAUUUGCCAAAAAGUACAUGAAAACAUUGAUUGCAUAGCAUUGUGCCUUUGGCAACAGUAAAAACCACUUUUCAUAUUUGUAAUAUUCGAUAUUUCGGAUAAGAUUCGGGAAAUGAUUUCUCCUAUAUUCUCUCCCGACCACUCAUAGUGAAUUCUCCUUUUGAAAGAUUUUCGCCUUCUCCUUUUCUGUUCUCUAAUAAUAUCAAGAAGACAAGAAAUAACUCUUUUCUUAGAUAUUUUAUUUAAAAAAAAACUCUUUUCCUAGAUAUAUUUUUAGAUAUUUCAUUUACAAGAAGUAAUUUGGAUAUUUUCCUUGUAAAAGUAAUUCUUAGAUUUACUAUUUGACUUUGAUUACUAAAUUGAAUAUUUGUGUUUAUUUCUUACAUUAUGUAUUUGAAGUAGAACACAUAUAGAAAUGAGGUUUUAGGAACAAUAAAAUAAAAUUAGAUAUCUCAAACUUUGAAUUCUGUUAAGAAUUUUUCAGUUUAAAGCUUUUUUAAAUUGCUCUUAAACAAAAAUAUCAAAAUCUCACUAAAAAGUAAAAAAAAUCUCAAUUUUUUUUUCUGCAAAAGCACUAGUAAUAGAAUAAUGAUGUGUCAUGCGUGCAUGUGGGUUGAAAACAAUUUAAACCACAACCGUAGAUUUAGAUAUGCAUAAAAGGCGGUGUAAAACUGGACGAUGAUAAGGCUGUAACACACGGAACUCCAAAACGCUCUAGGACGUACCAGAACAAACACACGCUCCACAAUUAUUGUUCCGACAAUUAUUGAAACCGACGUACGAGAAUCAAUGCCUCGAAGGGUAAAGGCGUAAAUAAGGACUAAUAUGUGGACUGAUAUUUAAUUUUAGGAGAUAAGAGCGGAGAGGGAUUGCGACACGUGUAUGGUCAGUAUUCUCUCAUUUAGCCUAUAAAGUUGGAGGCUUCAUCAAUCUAAAAAUUCAUUCUGUGAUAACUUUCUACCAGCGAUCAAUUUGAUAAACAUUCUCUGCUAUUUCUUCGGUCUUUCUCGAGAAAAUGUCUUGCUGUGGUGGAAACUGUGGUUGUGGAUCUGGCUGCAAGUGCGGCAACGGUUGCGGAGGGUAUGCCUCGAGCCUCUGUUAAUUAAGUUUUCGAUUGUAACAAUUUUCUAUUUUAAACUCUGUUUUCAUUUGAUCGUAACGUGUGAUGUUUCGGUUGUCGCAGUUGCAAAAUGUACCCGGACUUGGGCUUUUCCGGCGAGUCGACCACGACCGAGACUUUUGUCUUCGGCGUUGCACCGGCGAUGAAGAACCAGUACGAGGCUUCUGGAGAGGGUGUCGCUGAGAACGAUGCAUGCAAGUGUGGAUCUGACUGCAAGUGUGAUCCUUGCACCUGUAAAUGAAUAAUAAUGGAACCUUUCUAAGGAGGCAGAGAUAAUCAGAGUUUAAUUAUAUUAAGUAA
Molecule: long non-coding RNA, 18522 nt
Filed under: Brassica napus (rape)
Lineage: Eukaryota; Viridiplantae; Streptophyta; Magnoliopsida; Brassicales; Brassicaceae
Description: long non-coding RNA (BNAP_LNC004705)
Source: RNAcentral